GACGAACGCUGGCGGCAUGCCUUACACAUGCAAGUCGAACGGCAGCACGGGUGCUUGCACCUGGUGGCGAGUGGCGAACGGGUGAGUAAUACAUCGGAACGUACCUUAUCGUGGGGGAUAACGCAGCGAAAGCUGUGCUAAUACCGCAUACGCCCUGAGGGGGAAAGCGGGGGAUCGAAAGACCUCGCGCGAUUAGAGCGGCCGAUGCCUGAUUAGCUUGUUGGUGGGGUAAAAGCCCACCAAGGCGACGAUCAGUAGCUGGUCUGAGAGGACGAUCAGCACAAGUGGGACUGUGCCACGGCCCAGACUCCUACGGGAGGCAGCAGUGGGGAUAUUGGGAGAAUGGGGGCAACCUUGAUCCAGCAAUGCCGCGUGAGUGAAGAAGGCCUUCGGGUUGUAAAGCUCUUUUGUCAGGGAAGAAACACCGGCUCUAAAACAGUCCGGGAAUGACGGUACCUGAAGAAUAAGCACCGGCUAACUACGUGCCAGCCGCCGCGGUAA
Molecule: ribosomal RNA, 501 nt
Filed under: uncultured bacterium
Lineage: Bacteria
Description: partial 16S ribosomal RNA
Rfam family: Bacterial small subunit ribosomal RNA
Source: RNAcentral